GACGAACGCUGGCGGCGUGCUUAACACAUGCAAGUCGAGCGGUAAGGCCCUUUCGGGGUACGACGAGCGGCGAACGGGUGGAGUAACACGUGGGUGACCUCGCCCUCCAGCUCUGGGAGUAAGCCUGGGAAACGUAGGGUCGUAAUACCGGAUAUGACUCCAUGACGCAUGUUGUGGGGUGGAAAGCCUUGUGCGGCUGAGGAUGGGCCCGCGGCCUAUCAGCUUGUUGGUGGGGUGANGGCCUACCAAGGCGACGACGGGUAGCCGGCCUGAGAGGGCGACCGGCCACACUGGGACUGAGACACGGCCCAGACUCCUACGGGAGGCAGCAGUGGGGAAUCUUGCGCAAUGGGCGAAAGCCUGACGCAGCGACG
RNAcentral lists this ribosomal RNA (374 nucleotides) under uncultured bacterium. Its description in RNAcentral is "bacterial SSU rRNA". It matches the Rfam family "Bacterial small subunit ribosomal RNA", at positions 28 to 396 of the family's 1533-position model. The record is from RNAcentral.